AGAGUUUGAUCAUGGCUCAGGAUGAACGCUAGCGACAGGCCUAACACAUGCAAGUCGAGGGGCAUCGGGACGUAGCAAUACGUUGCCGGCGACCGGCGGAUGGGUGAGUAACGCGUAUGCAACCUACCCGUAGCAGGGGGAUAGCCCGUUGAAAGACGGAUUAAUACCCCGUAACACAGGGGCUCCGCAUGGAGAUUAUUGUUAAAGGGUCAUUUCUUUUUCAGGGAUGGUCCGGCUGCGGAUGGGCAUGCGUUCCAUUAGGUAGUUGGUGUAGGUAACUGCUCACCAAGCCGACGAUGGAUAGGGGAACUGAGAGGGUGGACGGCCACACUGGGACUGAGACACGGCCCAGACUCCUACGGGAGGCAGCAGUAGGGAAUAUUGCGCAAUGGACGGAAGUCUGACGCAGCGACGCCGCGUGAGCGAUGAAGGUCUUCGGAUCGUAAAGCUCUGUCCUUGGGGAAGAAGGCGAAAGCUUGACGGUACCCAAGAAGAAAGCCCCGGCUAACUACGUGCCAGCAGCCGCGGUAAUACGUAGGGGGCGAGCGUUGUCCGGAAUUACUGGGCGUAAAGGGUGCGUAGGCGGCCCUUUAAGUCGGAUGUGAAAGCCCGCGGCUUAACCGCGGAAUGGCAUUCGAAACUGGAGGGCUUGAGUGUCGGAGAGGGUAGUGGAAUUCCCAGUGUAGCGGUGAAAUGCGUAGAUAUUGGGAGGAACACCAGUGGCGAAGGCGACUACCUGGACGAUAACUGACGCUGAGGCACGAAAGCUAGGGGAGCAAACAGGAUUAGAUACCCUGGUAGUCCUAGCCGUAAACGAU
Molecule: ribosomal RNA, 818 nt
Filed under: uncultured bacterium
Lineage: Bacteria
Description: bacterial SSU rRNA
Rfam family: Bacterial small subunit ribosomal RNA
Source: RNAcentral